GAGAAAAUGAGUGGUUCGUAUGUGGGUUCGAUGAGGCGGUGGUCGCCCCUCAGUUGAACCCACAUGAAACAGUGGAGGCGCGUGGAAGGUACGCUCCGGAAAUGGGAAGAGGAUUGCAUGGGGUGAAAGUGGACGUGUGGGGUGUAGGUCACUUGGUGAAGACGUGUGGAUUGUGUCCAAGUGGUGUGCCGAAGAUGCUUAAAGAGUUGCAAAAUAGGUGCUUAGAUCAGAACCCAGAGCAGAGACCCACCGCCGCCGAUUGCUAUCACCACUUGUUGCAAGUGCAGUCGUCUCUGCAAUCAUCCUCCUCUGGAGGGCCCUAUUGAAUUGACUGAUGUGUAUGCUAUGGGGUAGCUUGCGUUUGUUUUCUGAUUUUUAAUAUUGU
This 385-nucleotide unclassified non-coding RNA is filed under the name Hevea brasiliensis (rubber tree). The record is from RNAcentral. Lineage: Eukaryota; Viridiplantae; Streptophyta; Magnoliopsida; Malpighiales; Euphorbiaceae.